GGUGCCAGCAGCCGCGGUAAUUCCAGCUCCAAUAGCGUAUAUUAAAAUUGUUGCAGUUAAAAAGCUCGUAGUUGAAUUUCUGCUGCAUUGCAUCUUCUUUUUGAUGAGUUGAUGUAUUGUGGCUUAUUUCGGAUGAUACUUGUAUUAUCCGGAUGAUUACUUUGAGAAAAUUAGAGUGCUCAAAGCAGGCUUUUGCCUUGAAUAGUUUAUCAUGGAAUAAUAAAGUAGGACUUUGGUUCUAUUUUGUUGGUUUUAGGUACCAAAGUAAUGGUUAAUAGGAACAGUUGGGGGCAUUCGUAUUUAACUGUCAGAGGUGAAAUUCUUAGAUUUGUUAAAGACGAACUACUGCGAAAGCAUUUGCCAAGGAUGUUUUCAUUAAUCAAGAACGAAAGUUAGGGGAUCGAAGACAAU
RNAcentral lists this ribosomal RNA (411 nucleotides) under Theileria luwenshuni. RNAcentral's name for it is "SSU rRNA". It matches the Rfam family "Eukaryotic small subunit ribosomal RNA", at positions 563 to 1008 of the family's 1831-position model. The record is from RNAcentral. Lineage: Eukaryota; Apicomplexa; Aconoidasida; Piroplasmida; Theileriidae.